AAACUUUCAACAACGGAUCUCUUGGCUCUGGCAUCGAUGAAGAACGCAGCGAAAUGCGAUACGUAAUGUGAAUUGCAGAAUUCAGUGAAUCAUCGAAUCUUUGAACGCACAUUGCGCCCGCCAGCAUUCUGGCGGGCAUGCCUGUCCGAGCGUCAUUU
Molecule: ribosomal RNA, 158 nt
Filed under: Podospora immersa
Lineage: Eukaryota; Fungi; Ascomycota; Sordariomycetes; Sordariales; Podosporaceae
Description: 5.8S ribosomal RNA
Rfam family: 5.8S ribosomal RNA
About the family: 5.8S ribosomal RNA (5.8S rRNA) is a component of the large subunit of the eukaryotic ribosome. It is transcribed by RNA polymerase I as part of the 45S precursor that also contains 18S and 28S rRNA.
Source: RNAcentral